RNAcentral lists this non-coding RNA (185 nucleotides) under Nelumbo nucifera (sacred lotus). RNAcentral describes it as "Bacterial small subunit ribosomal RNA". It matches the Rfam family "Bacterial small subunit ribosomal RNA", at positions 946 to 1116 of the family's 1533-position model. Lineage: Eukaryota; Viridiplantae; Streptophyta; Magnoliopsida; Proteales; Nelumbonaceae. The record is from Rfam by way of RNAcentral.
UUAAUUCGAUGCAAAGCAAAGAACCUUACUAGGGUUUGACAUGUCGUGAAUCCUCUUGAAAGAGAGGGAUGCCUUCGAGAAUGCGGACACAGGUGAUGCAUGGUUGUCGUCAGCUCGUGUCGUAAGGUGUUGGGUUAAGUUAUGAAUAACUUUUAACCACAAACAAAUGUCCCUAGCUAAAGGUU